Triticum aestivum (bread wheat) is the source of this 924-nucleotide RNA transcript. It is a transcript of the gene named histidine-containing phosphotransfer protein 2-like, with no coding region annotated. NCBI's taxonomy places the organism in Eukaryota, Viridiplantae, Streptophyta, Magnoliopsida, Poales, Poaceae. The transcript is spliced from 6 exons. The record is from RefSeq and is a predicted model, not a curated record.
CGCCUACGUGAGAGACCCUCGUGAGCCCAGCUAUACAACCUCCUCUCCUCCACCCAUCCUCGUUCACUCCGCAUCUGCAGCCGAAUUCCCCCGUCUGCACCGCUCAGUCCCCCGGACAGCCGGACCUCUCCUCGCCUUGCCAUGGCAGCCGCAGCACUGAGGGCGCAGCUGAACGCCCAUAUCGCCGGCAUGUACACCAAUGGUGUGGUGGACGAGGAUACAUUCGAGGAGCUGCGGGACGAGGGCACCGCCGCCGAGGUCUCCCGCCUCUUCAUCUACGACGCCUCCGAGAUCAUCGACGACAUCGACCUCCAGAUGGAGGAGCCUGAAUUGGACUUUGACGAGGUGGAAGCCCUGACGCAGCAGCUCAUGCGGUGCACCUCCAGUGUUGGUGCACAGCAAGUGAACCUCGCCUGCAUGCACUUCGGCAAUUUCUAUGCCAUACAAUACAAACAAGGGUCAAAACUUAGUAGCUUAUUUAAUACUGCUACACAAUAAUUAUUCGCAACAUUGUUUUUCAAGGUCUCUCGUGUCAUUGGCUCUUGUUAGGAAUGAGUUCUAUAUUGUGCGACAUGAGUUGGAGAUCGUGAUGCAGCUCGAAGAGCAGAUCGCGGCAUGUGGUCCUGACUCCUAAGUAGCGGCAAGUGAAGGGGGAAGAGCCUGGCCCCAUGCAAUCCCUUGCAUUAUGCGGUCCAUGUGUCUUGGAAGAUGUAGCCAUUUUCAAAGGGUGUCUAGCACUAUAGGGUGCGCGUAAAACUUAGAUGAAUAUUCUCGCUUCGGAACUUUGGGCUCGUAACCCUGUGAAAGAAAACUGUUGUCGUGUGUUGAUGUCAGUGUGAAGUCUAUAUUCUAGAGUGUCGUGGAUGUGUUGGCCCCCGCCUACAGGCUGUUUAUAAAACAUAUACUUGGUUGGUUGGUCCUCUA